GCCAGUGUAGUAUAGUGGUUUGAGUGUUGGACUAUGACUCUGGAGAAGAGGGUUUGAUUCCCUGCUCAGUCA
Molecule: non-coding RNA, 72 nt
Organism: Phrynosoma platyrhinos (Desert horned lizard)
Lineage: Eukaryota; Metazoa; Chordata; Lepidosauria; Squamata; Phrynosomatidae
Source: the annotation of a GenBank genome assembly